This 297-nucleotide long non-coding RNA is filed under the name Dasypus novemcinctus (nine-banded armadillo). Its description in RNAcentral is "lncRNA (ENSDNOG00000052883.1)". The record is from RNAcentral. Lineage: Eukaryota; Metazoa; Chordata; Mammalia; Cingulata; Dasypodidae.
CCAGGGUCCACAUGCAAAUAGGCAUUUGGGGAGUGAGUCAUCAGAGCAGGUGUCCGUUGACAGGCACCGCCUCGGGGCUUCGUGCCACACUCAUGCUGUACCUCCACCAGCUCAGGUCAGCCCUAAAAGCCACCAACGCUCGGCCAGCUCCGCGGAAGAGCCAUUGCUUGGGAGCCAGCUGAAGAAAGCCAUUUCCCAAGAGAUGUGAUUCCACCAGCCACGACAAGAAAAUGGGGAAAGAAAGGACGGUUCGGCCUUCCCCCUUCCCUUCAUAAAGAUGGUGAUUUUAAACAGGCA